GAUUGAACGCUGGCGGAAUGCUUUACACAUGCAAGUCGAGCGGCAGCGCGGGGGCAACCUGGCGGCGAGCGGCGAACGGGUGAGUAAUACAUCGGAACAUGUCCAUUUGUGGGGGAUAGCCCGGCGAAAGCCGGAUUAAUACCGCAUACGCCCGAGAGGGGAAAGCGGGGGACUCGCAAGGGCCUCGCGCGAAUGGGUUGGCCGAUGUCCGAUUAGCUAGUUGGCGGGGUAAAGGCCCACCAAGGCGAUGAUCGGUAGCUGGUCUGAGAGGAUGAUCAGCCACACUGGGACUGAGACACGGCCCAGACUCCUACGGGA
Molecule: ribosomal RNA, 318 nt
Filed under: uncultured bacterium
Lineage: Bacteria
Description: bacterial SSU rRNA
Rfam family: Bacterial small subunit ribosomal RNA
Source: RNAcentral